AUUGAACGCUGGCGGCAUGCUUUACGCAUGCAAGUCGAACGGGCUGGGGGCAACUCCAGUCAGUGGCGAACGGGUGAGUAAUGCAUCGGAACGUGUCCCGUAGUGGGGGAUAACCCGGCGAAAGCCGGACUAAUACCGCAUAUGCUCUACGGAGGAAAGUGGGGGACCGCAAGGCCUCACGCUAUGGGAGCGGCCGAUGUCCGAUUAGCUUGUUGGUGGGGUAAUGGCCUACCAAGGCGACGAUCGGUAGCUGGUCUGAGAGGAUGAUCAGCCACACUGGGACUGAGACACGGCCCAGACUCCUACGGGAGGCAGCAGUGGGGAAUUUUGGACAAUGGGGGCAACCCUGAUCCAGCCAUGCCGCGUGCGGGAAGAAGGCCU
This 381-nucleotide ribosomal RNA is filed under the name uncultured bacterium. RNAcentral describes it as "bacterial SSU rRNA". It matches the Rfam family "Bacterial small subunit ribosomal RNA", at positions 28 to 417 of the family's 1533-position model. The record is from RNAcentral.